GAGAGAGACAUGCGCGCAUAUCAAUAAGCGGAGGAAAAGAAACUAACAAGGAUUCCCUUAGUAACGGCGAGUGAAGCGGGAAGAGCUCAAAUUUGAAAUCUUCAAGGUUUUACCUUGACGAAUUGUAGUUUAAAGAAGUGUUUUCUGCUGAAGUUUUGGUAAAAGUUCUUUGGAAUAGGACAUCAUAGAGGGUGAGAAUCCCGUAUUUGACCAUUAUUUCCAGCUUUGUGAUACACUUUCAAAGAGUCGGAUUGUUUGGGAAUGCAGUCCAAAAUGGGUGGUAAAUUUCAUCUAAAGCUAAAUAUUGGCGAGAGACCGAUAGCGAACAAGUACCGUGAGGGAAAGAUGAAAGAACUUUGAGAAAGAGAGUUAAACAGUACGUGAAAUUGUCAAAAGGGAAGCGUUUGACACCAGUGUUGUUUUCUCGAAAAUCAAUUAAAAAUGGCUCGAUUUUGUAUUGCUUGAGACCUUAAAAGCUCACUGUACAUUUUUCGUGUCUUUUUUAAUGCACUUUUCGUUUAACAAGUCAACAUCAGUUUCUUUUGUUGUAAAAGGGUCAUUGGAAGGUGGCUUUCUUUUCGGAGAAAGUGUUUAUAGCCUUUGGCCUCUGCAAUCGGAGAGACUGAGGUCUGCAGCGUAGACUCCUCGAGGUUAGAUACACUUGUGCUAAGUUAUAGCUUUUUAUAGACAACUUGUUGACUAUAAUUAGUCUUGUAGCUUACUCGCUUAUGCUAUUUUACCUACGCUUAGGAUGUUGAAGAUGUAGCACAUCAU
This 774-nucleotide ribosomal RNA is filed under the name uncultured Neocallimastigales. Its description in RNAcentral is "partial large subunit ribosomal RNA". It matches the Rfam family "Eukaryotic large subunit ribosomal RNA", at positions 23 to 620 of the family's 3401-position model. The record is from RNAcentral. Lineage: Eukaryota; Fungi; Neocallimastigomycota; Neocallimastigomycetes; Neocallimastigales.